CUAGAUCACUAACCUUCGUCAAAACGACGACGAGGAUUUAAAAAAAGUGGUAUAAUUUUUGAGUGCGUCGUCGCACGCAUUUCAAAUUCCAGCUAAUCUCAGUCGAACCAACGCUCGCGCGGCACACGGGUGUAUUUUUUGUGUAGUGGCCCUGUGCUCGCCGUUCCAGCCACCAUGAGUCGUCGAAUCGACGAAGAUACGAUUCGUCACCUGUUAUGUGAUAAUAAAAGUGUCGAAGAAACUUCUACUUGUACACAUGAGCCUGAUCAAAGAGAAGAUGCCGAUAACCUUCCUAUCGCUAAAAAAAGAAAAAAAUUGUGCAAUUUGUACCCUCCGCAAGACGAAGAAUGACAAAGAGUUGUUGCACUAAGUGCAACAAAAUCCUUGUGUGGCGAACACCAACUUGACAUUUGUCACAAAUGUAUUAAUUGAUAGUUUUUUUAUAAAAUGUUGUUUUCUUUUGUUGAUUUUAUUUCUUAAUUCUAAUAUUUUAAUGUUUUUUUGAGUCUUUGUUUUGUUAGUUAUAAAGAUUUUUAGCAUUUAAAAAACAAAAAUGUUGAUAUGAGUAACAUUUUCGGGUCUCAAUUAAAAGACUGUCAAAGUAAUUAAAAUGUGAUUUUAGUGAAUAAAAACCUGAUAACUAUGUUAACAAAUCAUUAUUGUAAUAAAUAAAUAAAACACAAAAA
Molecule: long non-coding RNA, 686 nt
Organism: Helicoverpa zea (corn earworm)
Lineage: Eukaryota; Metazoa; Arthropoda; Insecta; Lepidoptera; Noctuidae
Exons: 2
Source: RefSeq, a predicted model, not a curated record